GACGAGCGGCGGACGGGUGAGUAAUACUUAGGAAUCUACCUAGUAGUGGGGGAUAGCUCGGGGAAACUCGAAUUAAUACCGCAUACGACCUACGGGAGAAAGGGGGCAACUUGUUGCUCUCGCUAUUAGAUGAGCCUAAGUCGGAUUAGCUAGAUGGUGGGGUAAAGGCCUACCAUGGCGACGAUCUGUAGCUGGUCUGAGAGGAUGAUCAGCCACACCGGGACUGAGACACGGCCCGGACUCCUACGGGAGGCAGCAGUGGGGAAUAUUGGACAAUGGGGGAAACCCUGAUCCAGCCAUGCCGCGUGUGUGAAGAAGGCCUUUUGGUUGUAAAGCACUUUAAGCAGUGAAGAAGACUCCAUGGUUAAUACCCAUGGACGAUGACAUUAGCUGCAGAAUAAGCACCGGCUAACUCUGUGCCAGCAGCCGCGGUAAUACAGAGGGUGCAAGCGUUAAUCGGAAUUACUGGGCGUAAAGGGAGCGUAGGUGGCUCGAUAAGUCAGAUGUGAAAUCCCCGGGCUCAACCUGGGAACUGCAUCUGAUACUGUUGAGCUAGAGUAUGUGAGAGGAAGGUAGAAUUCCAGGUGUAGCGGUGAAAUGCGUAGAGAUCUGGAGGAAUACCGAUGGCGAAGGCAGCCUUCUGGCAUAAUACUGACACUGAGGCUCGAAAGCGUGGGUAGCAAACAGGAUUAGAUACCCUGGUAGUCCACGCCGUAAACGAUGUCUACUAGUCGUUGGGUCCCUUGAGGACUUAGUGACGCAGCUAACGCAAUAAGUAGACCGCCUGGGGAGUACGGCCGCAAGGUUAAAACUCAAAUGAAUUGACGGGGGCCCGCACAAGCGGUGGAGCAUGUGGUUUAAUUCGAUGCAACGCGAAGAACCUUACCUGGUCUUGACAUAUCUAGAAUCCUGCAGAGAUGCGGGAGUGCCUUCGGGAAUUAGAAUACAGGUGCUGCAUGGCUGUCGUCAGCUCGUGUCGUGAGAUGUUGGGUUAAGUCCCGCAACGAGCGCAACCCUUGUCCUUAGUUACCAGCGGGUUAAGCCGGGAACUCUAAGGAUACUGCCAGUGACAAACUGGAGGAAGGCGGGGACGACGUCAAGUCAUCAUGGCCCUUACGACCAGGGCUACACACGUGCUACAAUGGUAGGUACAGAGGGCAGCUACACAGCGAUGUGAUGCGAAUCUCAAAAAGCCUAUCGUAGUCCGGAUUGGAGUCUGCAACU
Molecule: ribosomal RNA, 1224 nt
Filed under: Psychrobacter sp. DAB_AL109bw
Lineage: Bacteria; Pseudomonadati; Pseudomonadota; Gammaproteobacteria; Moraxellales; Moraxellaceae
Description: bacterial SSU rRNA
Rfam family: Bacterial small subunit ribosomal RNA
Source: RNAcentral